This 706-nucleotide ribosomal RNA is filed under the name alpha proteobacterium K018. Its description in RNAcentral is "bacterial SSU rRNA". It matches the Rfam family "Bacterial small subunit ribosomal RNA", at positions 22 to 773 of the family's 1533-position model. The record is from RNAcentral. Lineage: Bacteria; Pseudomonadati; Pseudomonadota; Alphaproteobacteria.
GCUCAGACCGACCGCUGGCGCCAGGCCUACCACAUGCAAGUCGACCGCUCUCCUUCGGGAGGGAGUGGCGCACGGUGAGUAACGCGUGGGGAUUUGCCUUUGGGUAGGGAAUAACGCAGGGAAACUUGUGCUAAUACCCUAUACGCUCUACGGAGGAAAGAUUUAUCGCCCAAAGAUGAACCCGCGUAGGAUUAGGUAGUUGGUGAGGUAAGAGCUCACCAAGCCUACGAUCCUUAGCUGGUCUGAGAGGAUGAUCAGCCACACUGGGACUGAGACACGGCCCAGACUCCUACGGGAGGCAGCAGUGGGGAAUAUUGGACAAUGGGGGCAACCCUGAUCCAGCCAUGCCGCGUGAGUGAAGAAGGCCUUAGGGUUGUAAAGCUCUUUCACCGAUGAGGAUGAUGACGAUAGUCGGAGAAGAAGCCCCGGCUAACUUCGUGCCAGCAGCCGCGGUAAUACGAAGGGGGCAAGCGUUGUUCGGAAUUACUGGGCGUAAAGGGCGUGUAGGCGGAUAGACAAGUCAGGGGUGAAAUCCCGAGGCUCAACCUCGGAACUGCCUUUGAAACUGUUUAUCUAGAGUAUAGGAGAGGAUAGCGGAAUACCCAGUGUAGAGGUGAAAUUCGUAGAUAUUGGGUAGAACACCAGUGGCGAAGGCGGCUAUCUGGCCUAUUACUGACGCUUAGGCGCGAAAGCGUGGGGAGCAAAC